AAAUUGAAGAGUUUGAUCAUGGCUCAGAUUGAACGCUGGCGGCAGGCCUAACACAUGCAAGUCGAGCGGUAACACAGGGAGCUUGCUCCCGGGUGACGAGCGGCGGACGGGUGAGUAAUGUCUGGGAAACUGCCUGAUGGAGGGGGAUAACUACUGGAAACGGUAGCUAAUACCGCAUAAUGUCGCAAGACCAAAGAGGGGGACCUUCGGGCCUCUUGCCAUCAGAUGUGCCCAGAUGGGAUUAGCUAGUAGGUGGGGUAAUGGCUCACCUAGGCGACGAUCCCUAGCUGGUCUGAGAGGAUGACCAGCCACACUGGAACUGAGACACGGUCCAGACUCCUACGGGAGGCAGCAGUGGGGAAUAUUGCACAAUGGGCGCAAGCCUGAUGCAGCCAUGCCGCGUGUAUGAAGAAGGCCUUCGGGUUGUAAAGUACUUUCAGCGGGGAGGAAGGUGUUGAGGUUAAUAACCUCAGCAAUUGACGUUACCCGCAGAAGAAGCACCGGCUAACUCCGUGCCAGCAGCCGCGGUAAUACGGAGGGUGCAAGCGUUAAUCGGAAUUACUGGGCGUAAAGCGCACGCAGGCGGUCUGUCAAGUCGGAUGUGAAAUCCCCGGGCUCAACCUGGGAACUGCAUUCGAAACUGGCAGGCUAGAGUCUUGUAGAGGGGGGUAGAAUUCCAGGUGUAGCGGUGAAAUGCGUAGAGAUCUGGAGGAAUACCGGUGGCGAAGGCGGCCCCCUGGACAAAGACUGACGCUCAGGUGCGAAAGCGUGGGGAGCAAACAGGAUUAGAUACCCUGGUAGUCCACGCCGUAAACGAUGUCGACUUGGAGGUUGUGCCCUUGAGGCGUGGCUUCCGGAGCUAACGCGUUAAGUCGACCGCCUGGGGAGUACGGCCGCAAGGUUAAAACUCAAAUGAAUUGACGGGGGCCCGCACAAGCGGUGGAGCAUGUGGUUUAAUUCGAUGCAACGCGAAGAACCUUACCUACUCUUGACAUCCAGAGAACUUUCCAGAGAUGGAUUGGUGCCUUCGGGAACUCUGAGACAGGUGCUGCAUGGCUGUCGUCAGCUCGUGUUGUGAAAUGUUGGGUUAAGUCCCGCAACGAGCGCAACCCUUAUCCUUUGUUGCCAGCGGUCCGGCCGGGAACUCAAAGGAGACUGCCAGUGAUAAACUGGAGGAAGGUGGGGAUGACGUCAAGUCAUCAUGGCCCUUACGAGUAGGGCUACACACGUGCUACAAUGGCGCAUACAAAGAGAAGCGACCUCGCGAGAGCAAGCGGACCUCAUAAAGUGCGUCGUAGUCCGGAUUGGAGUCUGCAACUCGACUCCAUGAAGUCGGAAUCGCUAGUAAUCGUAGAUCAGAAUGCUACGGUGAAUACGUUCCCGGGCCUUGUACACACCGCCCGUCACACCAUGGGAGUGGGUUGCAAAAGAAGUAGGUAGCUUAACCUUCGGGAGGGCGCUUACCACUUUGUGAUUCAUGACUGGGGUGAAGUCGUAACAAGGUAACCGUAGGGGAACCUGCGGUUGGAUCACCUCCUUA
This 1540-nucleotide ribosomal RNA is filed under the name Enterobacter mori. RNAcentral's name for it is "bacterial SSU rRNA". It matches the Rfam family "Bacterial small subunit ribosomal RNA". Lineage: Bacteria; Pseudomonadati; Pseudomonadota; Gammaproteobacteria; Enterobacterales; Enterobacteriaceae. The record is from RNAcentral.